Molecule: ribosomal RNA, 232 nt
Filed under: uncultured bacterium
Lineage: Bacteria
Description: partial 16S ribosomal RNA
Rfam family: Bacterial small subunit ribosomal RNA
Source: RNAcentral
CGGACGGGUGAGUAAUGUCUGGGAAACUGCCCGAUGGAGGGGGAUAACUACUGGAAACGGCAGCUAAUACCGCAUAACGUCGCAAGACCAAAGAGGGGGACCUUCGGGCCUCUUGCCAUCGGAUGUGCCCAGAUGGGAUUAGCUAGUAGGUGGGGUAACGGCUCACCUAGGCGACGAUCCCUAGCUGGUCUGAGAGGAUGACCAGCCACACUGGAACUGAGACACGGUCCAG